UGUGAAAACAUCGAAGGGAAUGUGGUUGCGCGCCAGUGUGUGGAAGCGAGUGUGAACUAGGUCGUGGUUGUCCAUAUGGGGGCGGGGGCAUGAUACCGUAUACACACGCAUACAUUGAGCAGUAGCCCAUCAUGUUACAUCUACUUAAGUGUAGCCACUUUGGAAUAAAAGCACACUGCUCAUUUAGGCCCAUUCAUUUCAGUGGCUCUGCUUGUGAGAACUUAGUUGGGAUCCGCACUUCCCCAUUUAUUGCUCGAAGCCCCGGGAAGUUUUAUGUAGUGGCUAACAAAUAUAGAUGAUAAAUGCAUAAUACAAAAAUGAGUGGGGGGAGGAAGGAAAUUGGAGAGAGGUGUGACUGUGUGGAUGCAUGAGGCCUGCAUAGAGGAGAGCGAGGGGGCAACUGGCUUGCCUACACGCCAUACGCUUAAAGCACAUGGCUCCCCACCACCAAAUAAACUGGGAACUGUCGUUCGCUAAGGGUGCUGGGAAUUGUAGUUCUGUGAGGAAUAAGCUGCUGUUCCGAGGAUUCUGUCUGUGUUUUAAAUGCAUUGCAGAGCUGUGUGUGUAUGUGUGCAUCAGACAGACAGACAGACAGACGGGAGAAUGGGGCACAUAUCCUGUCAGGAAAGAGUGAAUGGGAAAGGCUUGUGUAGGAGUGUGGAUUAUGAGGGGGAAAACAUGAAAGGGAAAUGUGAGGAAGGAGUGUGCUUGUGCUACGAUGUACCAGGCUCUUCCUCACACCUCAUUCUUCUCUUUCCCGCCCAAAUCCAUUCCUAUGUCUCCUCCUGCCUCUCACUCGUAUUUUCAGUCAGCUCCCUCAUAUUCACGGUUUCCUCGCAACGUCUCUCAUGUAUGUAGUUGUUUCUUUCGUCUCUCCCUUAUGGAUGCAGUUCUUUCUUUCACUUGCAAGCUCGCUCUCUCUCUCUCUCUCUCUCUCUCUCUCUCACACACACACACACACACACACACACACACACACUCAGUGCCUUCACCACAGGCAGGACGUGUGAACAGACAAGGGUUGGGGUGGAAAACAAGAGAGGGGUGUGUUUGUGUGUGUCAGAAUCGCACGGGGUCUCCGUGUGAAGGAAAAGGGAGCAGAAUGGGAGGCCAGGGCAGCUCCAUUUUAGUGUGCAUGGGCACACUUGUGUAAAAACAUGAGGGAGACAGUGUUGGGGCUGGCAGGGAGGGAGGGAGGGAAAGUGGUGCAACUGAUUGACAGAAGCGCAGUGUGUGAAAGGAAUGUGUGGUGCGUUAGGACCGAAAGAUGUUAUGAGAACCCUUUUUUUUUAGUCAACAAAUUUUUAAUCCAACAAAUAUGUAUGCGUAAGAUAGGUACACAGCGUGUUUUAUUCAAGAAUUCCUACACAGAAGUGUCUUUUGUAAGGUGCAAGGGCAGCCAACAUAAUGCUGACUGGAUGCUGUUGGACUAAAACUCCCACCAGCCCCAGCCAGCACAGCCAGUGGGGAUGGUAGCUUAUUUAGGGGUAAACUACAGUUCCCGGGAUUGUCAGGAGGAAAUAAUGUGUGUUCAGUAUAUGGAGUGUCACUGUGUCUAUCUCUCAGUGUGUCCUUUCCCCCCAUAACUCUUAAAAAAGACAGACGGCUCUUAAUAUACACAUUCAGAGCUUCUUUCCUCACAUGCUGAUGAAAUCUGACAAAAUGUUCUAUUCUGUCAGAAGCAUCGAUCAGUUGUCAACAGGAGCUGCCAAAGCAAGCUGUUGGAUCCCUUUUUGGGGAUUUGUGGUUUUUUUUAAUGGGGUGGUAGUGUCUGAGUGUUUGUGCACCCCCCCCCACCCUUCAACAGAACUUCAAUAAUGCAUGGUAUUCUAAUUAAGAUUAUUGCUCCAAUGAAUCAGUGGGUAGUUACACACAAUAAUGAAUAUUUUAUUCAUUUAAGUUGUGAUUGGAAUAUGUGUGCCUGUGUGUCUCUCUCUUUCCUCAAGGAUAUUCCAGGCUCCUUCCUGAACGUUCAUAUUCCAUUCUAAACAAAAGACAAAAGUCUUGUCCUACUGCAGUUUAAAAUUCCAAAUCACAACUUUUUAAAAUGGAGGCAGCCUUAAGAGGUAUGUGGUAUAGUGGUUAGAGCGCUGGACUCACAACCCCAACUUUGACCAGGGUUUAAAUCUGCAUCCAGCCCAUGAUUGUGGGCCAUUCACUGUACUUCAGCCUAAAUUACCUCACAGGGUUAUUGUGAGGAUAACAUGGGGAAGGGGCAGCCGUAUACCACCUUGAGCACCUUGAAUGAAAGGUGGGGAUAUAAAUGUUAUAAUAACUGAGGGCUCCUUCAAGAUGCAAUUCUUUAUUCCAUUUAUACCCCAUCUUUCUUCCAAAGAGCUCAAGGUUGUUCUCUCCAUACCCACAUCUUUUACCCUUCAAUCUUCCCAACAGUCUUGUGAGGUAGAUUAGGCAGAGAGUUGGUGCCUGGCCUGAGAUCACCCAAUGAGCUUUGUGGCUGAGUGGGGAUUUGAACCCAGGUCUCCCAAUCCUAUUUUGACCAUUCCAGCCACCUGCCUCAGAACCAGGGUGAUGCUAUCGUCACAUUUUAAUUAAUGGCGAUGAAGCUUAUUUCAGGGAGGCCAUUUUGGUUCUGGUGUGUUACAGUCAAAAAGAAUAGGAAAUGGUAAUGCAAGAGGACUUCCCCUACAGCAGGCACGUCCAACAGGUAGAUCGUGAUCUACUGGUAGAUCACUGGACAUCCGUGGUAGAUCACUGGUUGAUCACUGGCUCCCCCCAAAGAAGCCCAACAACUUUGGCUCCCCUAAAAAAAGCCCUCCCUCCCUCCUAAAAGAAGCUCAAUAACUUUGACCUGAACCCCAAAAGAGGGGGUAGAUCACUGUCAGUUUUUAACUCUGUGAGUAGAUCGCAGUCUCUUGGGAGUUGGCCACCCCUGCCCUACAGUAAUGUGCAGCAGCUUCUUCAGUUCACUUGUACCUUCUCACACUUCUUCCCAGUACCAGGUUUCUAGAGAACCUUUGGACAAGACCCCAUGGCCUCUCUCCUUCAGUGAGUUGCUCCUUUACAGCAAACCUUGCUCGGACUUCUGCCUUCGCAACUGGAACCUCAGCGUUCCUGAGGACUAGAAACCUGCUUUGAAAAACAAAAUACCCAGACAUAUCAACACUUAAGCCAGCCUUGCAGCGCUCAAUUAUAUCAAAAAGCUACCUUUACAGCUUGGGACCAGGAUACCUGAAAGAUUAUAUACCCAAUCAAUCACUGUGUGCAGCAGGAGAGGGCCUCUGGCAGAUACCAUCUUUUGAUAUAGGAAUUGGGCCUGUGUUGUGGGGUAGCUACCCCUUUGGAUCUCCCUCCCAUUAAUUAUGGUCUCUCUUGCCAUUCCAGCAGCUGCUGAAGACCCUUUAACAAGCCUUUUAAGAUAAGACCCUUUCCCAGUCUGCAUCUGUACAGUACUGGGAUUGUUUUGAAGGUGUUUGUGUGUUUGCUGCCCUGGACUCCUUCAGGAGGAAGGACCAGAUGGAAACUUAAAUAAUAACAAUAGUAUCUCCCUCUUUUAAAGGAUUAGAAAUGGAUUCAGAUUUUCUGCAUGUGUGGGUUCAGAUAUUGCAAAUGUUUCAUCACAAUAACAACAGCACUGAUAUAUAUAUUGGUUUGGGUGGUACACAUGUGCAUUUAGCUUUAUUAACUGAUUGAUCAGCUGCAAGUGAUCCAAAUUAAGUCAGCCAAAAAAAAUGCCCUAAUCAGUUGACAGGCCAGGGAGGUGGGGUAGGGCACACACAAGAAGAUGCGGUUUUCGGCACAUAACAUACCUUACAAAAACAUCGGCUCUAAACCCCAUGCAAAUCCCUGGAAUCUGGGCUUUGUACUCUGGAGGCUUUGUCUACUUGUUGUUGUUCAAUUUGUCAGAAACACAUUGGGGCUCCCCCCCCCACCUUCCCCCAAAUCCCUCAGUAUUGUUAAUUCAAUUUUGAGCCGUUCUUUCACGCAGGUUUUAAAGGAACUAAUCCCAUCUCUUGGAUUACACGAUGCAAGAACAACAUCGAGAUCCACCCACCAGCCCCUUCCUCCCUGCCCAGAGCGCCAAAGUGAGGUAAGAACCUUAGGGAAACAGCAGUCGCUGGCUUUAAGACCAUGUCACUAACCGAAAAGCGAUGGGGUUGGGGGAGAGGAGGCUCGGUUUAGGUUGCCCAGGCAACUGAAAUCCUCGACUUUGCAACCUUUAUAAUCUCACAGGCUUUGUUCAUGCAGCCAAGUUCGUGCGGAUGCAUCCAAUGUAAACAAUGGUGGCUGAUGUGUCAUGGGGACUUGUGGGGCAGAAGGCAGGGAGCCCCAAAGCAGGUGGAGCCAGAGCCAAGGACAGGCAGAGCCAGCUAAUUCUAGCAUUGCUCACAUCCUCCUCUUCGCUGAGCAAUACAAGGGGCAACACUAAGACUAAGGAGGAGGAGGAAGGCAGCAGGCAGGACCCACCAUCUUAGGGACUCCGGUUUUUGUAGGGUUUACUCCUUAGCCCAGAGGUUUUCAACCUUUUUGAGUCCACGGCUCCCUUGACUAACUACAUUCUUCCUGCAGCACCCCUGUGGGGCUCAGGAGCCCAGGUAUGUCACUCCUUGCCUGCAAUGCUGGCAGUCUCUCAUCCUUUUUCGAACACCCUUCCCUUGUAGAGUUUCCUCAGUCUCCUCUCCUCUUCCCUCUUAUUGGGAGUCCUCCGGGCAGCAGCUGCUGCUGCUGCUGCCGCCCCGAUCUCUGAUCUUACCUCACCCCAAAGAGAUGUGGUGUUAUGUGUUCAGUGGUCUGUGUUUGUCUGAGCUCGAGUCUGGACUAAGGAUUCUGAGCUCCUGUGUUCUGAUUCAAUACAUGAUGUCCAAUCACAGAACAUUUCAGGAUCUGGGCCUCUUCCAUUGGCCCUUGAACUCUGAGUCGUGAUUUGCAGCUUGGAAGUUUAGACAGCCAAUCACAUUGUGAGUGGCCCAAGCUUUCAGAAAUGUAUAUAAGCGGUUGCUUUGCCUGUUUCCCAGUUAUGUAGUUCAAUAAAGGUUCUUGCUGUUAUGAUUGUGUCUUGCCUUGUGGGAACCCACCUACACUUCACGUGCCUCACACUGUCCUUUCCCAACAGCAAGGGCUGGAGGACUGGCUGGCUGGCUGGGCUCCCUUGCCUGCUUGCUUACUCCGAGGCUGCCUCACCUUCUGGCAGCCAGCACCCCCUGCCCAGCCCCAGAAGCACUAUUCACUUGUGGAGCUUGUAGCCAGGGUCACUGCAACAAAGAGCUGUGCAAGCCUUGGGGAGGCAGAGAUCUGAGAGGGCAUCAGAAGAGGGAGGGGAAAAGGGAGAGGCCAGUAUUGCCUGUGGCACCCCUGACCAUCAUUCAAGGCACUCCAGGGUGCCACGGCACACUGGUUGAAAACAACUGCCUUAGCCUUUUCUUCUCCCAAAGAUAUCUCACAAGAGUCAGAGUUUUCCUUUUCCUAGAUGGGCUACCUUCCCAGCCCCAUCUGCCCCCCACUUCCCUCUACCAUAAUGGGCACUACAUUGGCUACGCUUGCUGUAAAGAAUAUCAUGCUUCCCAUCUGUACUCUUCUCUCAAGUGUUCAAAGCACUUCUCAUGCCCAGGAGAUGUUGUGCAGCAACACUUUCAGAGCCAAAGGUUCCCCAGCCCUGAUAAGCACUGUGCCUGUUGAUAACAGCAGUAGUUGUAUUGCUUUUAAUCUUUCUAGCUUUGUUGCCAUUAGCAUCCAUAGCAGCUUCACUUAUUUCAUGGAAAAUUUGCUGGGACUCUCGUAGCACCUUUACUUUUUUAUUUUUUACAGCCAAUGCUCUGGAACGUUAUGCAGAUACAUAAGCACUGGCACUCACAGCUCUGGGAUUACUUCUCCCCACCCCAGAGCAGGAGCAAAUGAUGUCACCUGCUGGUUGAAGCACUGGCAGUGUUAAAUAACUUUUCUUGUUCUGGCAAGUGAGUGAAGUGUUAACGAAGCUUUCAAAUUCGUAACAGAUUAAAAUAGAGGGAAACAAGAGGCUAGACACUUCUUUCCUUUCCUUUGAUGAGGUUCCAGCUUCAUGCCAGCAGUUUAGAUAAUAAUGCCUAUUUGCAUUUCAGUGGGAUGAAGACCUUUAAAAGAUGCCUGCUUCAUAAGCUGAACCCAUUCAGUCAGAACUAACCAACACUCCUAAGAAGCUAUUCAUAGGAUUGCAGUUGUUCUCAUCCUAAUAAUGACUAUAUGGGCUCCCAGAAUAAGCACCUGCAAUUCAAAAUUUACCACUAUGCCCUCCAUCACUGCCUGAUUGCUCAAGGUAAAGAAGGCAGCUACAUAAUAUUCUUUCUAACAAAUGUCCAGCUACUUGUUUAGAAUUAGCUGGCAUAGUUAUAAUCUGUAACAGAAGAUUUUCAUACCAUGCUACAGUCAAACUUUCCAUACGGUAGUUUUUCUGGUUUGGUAUUCUGUUAUAUUGCAAUGUCAUUAGACCAUCAUGAAAGUUGUUCUAAAUGUUGUUUUUAAUGCUGUAACCUGCUCUGGGACCUUAGGGUGAAGGGCAGGUAAUAAAUUAACAAUAACAACAAGUAUUUAUAUACCUGCUAAACGAGGGUAACCCUUUAUUCAAACUGCCACAUAAGCUUUCGCCAUCAUAAGCAUCUGUUAUUUUUUAAGCUGCUACAAAACUUUUAAUUAGUUUUGCUGUAAUUCCUCUAGAAGGUUUUGCCUUGCAGGGUAUGGUGUGUUUUGAGGGUACAGAAAACAUAGUGUGGGCAUCACUGUGGACAUGUAGACUUUUCCCCUGUGUAGAAAUGCUUUGCUGAGUCUGCUCCCAUUGCCUUGAACUGACCUUAAUACUUGCCGGCUGAGGGCUUAAAAUAGAGACUUGGGGAGAAACAGGACAAUAGCAUAUAGAUCAUUCACACUACCAUAGGCAGCAGAAACAGCCUGUUCCGCGGCGGCCCAGUCCCUUGCCGGCUGUUCCGAGCCACCCUGGCACAGGUCGGGCAGGCUGGAGGUUGCUGAGCAAAGCAAAUUCUUAUUCUCUCCCAUAUUCAGCUUUGUUUCUUACCCGAGAGCAAAUUGGGUGCACAAUGGGGCAAUUAAGAUUUGGUUGGAAAACGUUGCUGGUGGGUUGGCACCCUCUAGUGGCUCCUUUGGGGACAGCUUAGGACAACUAAGGCCGUGUACACACUGUACCUUUAAAGCACAUUCCCGCCCCCCUCAAAGAAUUCUGGGCGCUGUAGUUUAUUAAGGGUUACUAGGAAUUGUAACUCUGGGAGGAGAAAAUUACAGUGCCAAGAAUUCUAUGGGGGAAAGUCUCUGUUUCAAAUGUGCUUUUAAUGCCAGUGUGUACAAAGCCUAUAUACUGUUACAAAGGUUGCAGAUCACCCCAGUCGCUGCUGAGCGGUAGCAAAUUUCCAGGGGGUUCCAGGCGCUUACCCAGGGUCCUGUUUCCGUUAGGAAUUCAGGCACAUAAGAGACUGUAGCAUUUUAAGAUACAGUGGUACCUCAGGUUAAGUACUUAAUUCGUUCUGGAGGUCCGUACUUAACCUGAAACUGUUCUUAACCUGAAGCACCACUUUAGCCAAUGGGGCCUCCUGCUGCUGCUGUGCUGCCGGAGCACGAUUUCUGUUCUCAUCAUGAAGCAAAGUUCUUAACCCGAGGUACUAUUUCUGGGUUAGCAGAGUCUGUAACCUGAAGCGUAUGCAAUCCGAGGUACCACUGUAUAUGGUUUUACACCUCUGUACACCUGGAUCUAGGUAAAGAGAGUUCACAGCAUGGGGGGGGGGCUUGUUCCCCACAACAGCACAGCAUUGGAGCUCAUGGCAUCCUGCACACCAUUUCCAUGCCUUUUCCCCAGCCUGCCAAUAUGGUUCUGCCCCACCUGGCCUCUGCCUGGAGCUCUGGCACCUCCUUCUCCUUCCCAAGAACACUUGCUAAGCAGCCUCUCUGUUUUAAAAGGGGCACAUUUUCCCUGUGUGGCACCAUGCCGCUGCCCCCCAUCACGCUGGGCAACCACCCAAAUCUAC
This is a non-coding RNA of Podarcis lilfordi (Lilford's wall lizard), 7961 nucleotides long. The record is from the annotation of a GenBank genome assembly. Lineage: Eukaryota; Metazoa; Chordata; Lepidosauria; Squamata; Lacertidae.